UCCAAUAUAGUUUAAUAUUAAAACAUUGCUCUUUCAAAGCAAAAAUCUUAUUAUAAGUGUUGGUA
Molecule: transfer RNA, 65 nt
Filed under: Plegadiphilus threskiornis
Lineage: Eukaryota; Metazoa; Arthropoda; Insecta; Psocodea; Menoponidae
Description: tRNA-Glu
Rfam family: tRNA
About the family: Transfer RNA (tRNA) molecules are approximately 80 nucleotides in length. Their secondary structure includes four short double-helical elements and three loops (D, anti-codon, and T loops). Further hydrogen bonds mediate the characteristic L-shaped molecular structure. tRNAs have two regions of fundamental functional importance: the anti-codon, which is responsible for specific mRNA codon recognition, and the 3' end, to which the tRNAs corresponding amino acid is attached (by aminoacyl-tRNA synthetases). tRNAs cope with the degeneracy of the genetic code in two manners: having more than one tRNA (with a specific anti-codon) for a particular amino acid; and 'wobble' base-pairing, i.e. permitting non-standard base-pairing at the 3rd anti-codon position.
Source: RNAcentral